RNAcentral lists this ribosomal RNA (836 nucleotides) under Berkleasmium latisporum. RNAcentral describes it as "LSU rRNA". It matches the Rfam family "Eukaryotic large subunit ribosomal RNA", at positions 75 to 938 of the family's 3401-position model. The record is from RNAcentral. Lineage: Eukaryota; Fungi; Ascomycota; Dothideomycetes; Tubeufiales; Tubeufiaceae.
UUGCCUCAGUAACGGCGAGUGAAGCGGCAAUAGCUCAAAUUUGAAAUCUGGCAUCAGCCCGAAUUGUAAUUUGUAGAGGAUGCUUCGGCUUACGUUUUGGUCUAAGUUCCUUGGAACAGGACGUCACAGAGGGUGAGAAUCCCGUUUGUGGCCAUAACUUCCGCCAUGUGAAGCUCCUUCGACGAGUCGAGUUGUUUGGGAAUGCAGCUCUAAAUGGGAGGUAUGUUUCUUCUAAAGCUAAAUACCGGCCAGAGACCGAUAGCGCACAAGUAGAGUGAUCGAAAGAUGAAAAGCACUUUGGAAAGAGAGUUAAAAAGUACGUGAAAUUGUUGAAAGGGAAGCGCUUGCAACCAGACUUGCCCGUAGUUGCUCAACCGGUCCUUCGGCCGGUGCACUCUUCUGCGGUCAGGCCAGCAUCAGUUCGGGUGGUUGGAUAAAGGCCUUGAGAAUGUAGCUCUCUUCGGGGAGUGUUAUAGCUCUUGGUGCAAUACAGCCUGCCUGGACUGAGGCCCGCGCUUCGGCUAGGAUGCUGGCGUAAUGGUUGUAAGCGGCCCGUCUUGAAACACGGACCAAGGAGUCUAACAUCUAUGCGAGUGUUUGGGUGUCAAACCCGUGCGCGUAAUGAAAGUGAACGGAGGUGGGAACUUUUUGUGCACCAUCGACCGAUCCUGAUGUCUUCGGAUGGAUUUGAGUAAGAGCAUAGCUGUUGGGACCCGAAAGAUGGUGAACUAUGCCUGAAUAGGGUGAAGCCAGAGGAAACUCUGGUGGAGGCUCGCAGCGGUUCUGACGUGCAAAUCGAUCGUCAAAUUUGGGUAUAGGGGCGAAAGACUAAUCGA